GUCCCAUUUGCACAGUGGUUGUGCUGCUGGAAAUAAUAUCUUUGCAAAAGCCGCGUAUUCCAGUGUGUGCUGGUUCGAAUCCGGCGUGGGACA
Molecule: non-coding RNA, 93 nt
Organism: Mycena galericulata
Lineage: Eukaryota; Fungi; Basidiomycota; Agaricomycetes; Agaricales; Mycenaceae
Source: the annotation of a GenBank genome assembly